ACGUAAUAAAUUUAACUUAAGUUUACCAGAGUACUACGAAUAAAAAGUUUAAAACUCAAAGAGCUUGGCGGUGUUUUAGACCUCUCAGGGGAACCUGUCUCAUAAUCGACAAUCCACGUUAAACCCGACCCUCUAUGGCAAUUCAGCCUGUAUACCGUUGUCGUCAGGUAACUUCUUAAAAUAUAGUAGUUAGCUCGAAAAUUAUAUUAAUUAGUACGUCAGAUCAAGGUGCAGCUAAUAAGGGGGAGAGGAUGGGUUACAAUUAUAUAUUUAUAAUUACAGAAAACACCCUAAAUAAAGUGUUAGAAGGAGGACUUGAAAGUAAUUUUGAUUAUAUAAGCAAAAUGAAUAAGGCUCUGAAACGUG
This 366-nucleotide ribosomal RNA is filed under the name Conus sazanka. RNAcentral describes it as "partial 12S ribosomal RNA". The record is from RNAcentral. Lineage: Eukaryota; Metazoa; Mollusca; Gastropoda; Neogastropoda; Conidae.